GGAUGACAGUGAAAUCAUCCCUCCCCAAACCCCCAAGCUUCCACCCUCUCUCCUGAUUCCCAAAGGCUAAGAGGAUUUGUUUCCUUUGAAGAUAACUGAGCUCAGGGCACCAAAUGUAUCAACAAAAAUGAGCAGAGAGCAUUCAUUUCUGAAUGACAAUGAGGACAUUUUAUUAAGAGCUGAUUGUGUGCAGGAGGAAGGGCUAGGGGGAACCAGGGUGGGAGGGUAGAACUUUCCGGGGUGGGGGCCCAGGGCCCUAAGAACACUCUGAGGCUUCACUGUCUUCGUCACGGUGCUCCCCUCGUGCGUGACCUCGCAGCUGUAACUGCCUUUCGAUUUCCAGUCGCUGCCCAUCAGGCUCAGGUAGCUGCUGGCCGCGUACUUGCUGUUGCUCUGUUUGGAGGCCCGGGUAGCUGCUGGCCGCGUACUUGCUGUUGCUCUGUUUGGAGGCCCGGGUGGUCUCCACGUUGCGGGUGAUGGUGCUGCCGUCUGCCUUCCAGACCACGGUCACGCUACCCGGGUAGAAGUCGCUGAUGAGACACACCAGGGUGGCCUUGUUGCCGUUGAGCUCCUCCGUGGAGGGCGGGAACAGGGUGACCGAGGGUGGGGACUUGGGCUGACCUGCAAAGUGGGCGAGGGGAAGAAGAUCACUCAAUCAGAGGUCUGGUGCCCGUCAUGGGAGCCCCUGAGUCUGUGUCACAGGGGGACACAGGAUCCUUUGAGAGCCCAGCAGGACCCCGAGUCCAGGCAUCACUGUGAGCCAGAGGGCCUGUGCCAGGGAAGGUGGGUGGGGUUUUCUCAGGCACCUCCCCAUCUUCCUGAGAAAGCCUGAGCCUGGACCCCUGCCAGCGCUGUCCUGAGACCCCCUGGUUCUUGGUUUCCCACACAGACAUCUGACCCUCACUCUCCUUGCCUGCCCGUCUGAUGGUUGACGGGGGUCUGCCUGGGGCUGGCAGUCUGUCCCCUGAGUGGAUGAUGUGGCCUCCCUGGCCUCCUGUGAGUCAGUCCAGGUAUAUUUUGAGCUGACAUGUGUGUUCGAGCCGUUGCCCGAAGGCGUCCGUUGGUCUCCAAGUCUGUGUCCCUUGGAGCCUCUGUGCUGGUCGAGGGGGAGCCUGUCUGCCUGUCCUCGGUCCCCCCAUCCGCAGAUCUGAGCUCAGGUUCCUCUCUGAUUCUUCUUGGGCCUGGAGGUUUCCUACCCUGGUACCUGUCUCUCUGCUUCCUCAGGGACUCCUGCUUCUGAGGAGUGUUGUCUGCAGACUCAGGAGUCCGUGUCCCCUGCAUCCUGACCUCCUAUCUCUUUCCCCAGUUCUGUGUUCAGCACCUUCUCCUCCCCCGUCUUCCCUCUUGCACUUUCCCUGGGUCCCUGGCCAGCCCAGGAUCUGCACGGCAGCCCCAAGGAGGCCUGAUGGAGCCCCUCCACCUCUGCCGAGUCCCUGACCCGGAUCCCUAGACCCAAGGUCCCCAGCCCUUCCUGGCCCUCUGACUCUGGUCCCCAGCCUUGAGGGUUCUGUGUCCCUCUGAUGUCUGCCCACGGUCCCUCAUCUGCAAUCCAGUUCCCUCUUUGCCAUGAGAUGGGGGCUCAAGUGACCGUCAGAGACAAAGCUGGGUGGCAUAGAACCCAGACUGGGGGUUGAUGGGACAGCAGAGAGCGAGGUCCCGGAGCCAGACAGACAAGUCUGUAGGUCAGCCUGCUCAUUCCCCUGCCUCUGGGGUCAGAGGGGAGGCUCUGGUGGGACCUCAGUGCCAAGUAGUACAAGCCUGGGGUGAGGGGACGGGAAGAGGGGAGGGCCCCAGAGGAGAGUUCUGGGUGAAGGCUUGACCACAGGCUGACA
Molecule: long non-coding RNA, 1832 nt
Organism: Bos indicus x Bos taurus (hybrid cattle)
Lineage: Eukaryota; Metazoa; Chordata; Mammalia; Artiodactyla; Bovidae
Source: Ensembl